RNAcentral lists this ribosomal RNA (504 nucleotides) under uncultured bacterium. Its description in RNAcentral is "bacterial SSU rRNA". It matches the Rfam family "Bacterial small subunit ribosomal RNA", at positions 30 to 530 of the family's 1533-position model. The record is from RNAcentral.
AUUGAACGCUGGCGGCAUGCCUAACACAUGCAAGUCGAGCGAGAAAGCUCCUUCGGGAGUUAGUAAAGCGGCGAACGGGUGAGCAACACGUGAGAAUCUACCCUUUAGUGAAGAAUACCCUCGAGAAAUCGAGGCUAAUACUGCAUGCGUCCCUUCGGGGAGAAAGAUGGCCUCUUUGCUAUCGCUAAAGGAUGAGCUUGCGUACUAUUAGCUAGUUGGCGGGGUAAAGGCCCACCAAGGCAAUGAUGGUUAACCGGCCUGAGAGGGUGUACGGUCACACUGGAACUUAGACACGGUCCAGACUCCUACGGGAGGCAGCAGUGAGGAAUCUUGCGCAAUGGGCGAAAGCCUGACGCAGCGACGCCGCGUGGAGGAUGACGGUUUUCGGAUUGUAAACUCCUGUUAAGCGGGAAGAAAGCCUUGUUUCUAAUACAAGCAAGGUAUGACGGUACCGCUAGAGAAAGCACCGGCUAACUUCGUGCCAGCAGCCGCGGUAAAGUGACG